GUGGGCCAUAUUUUUGGCUUAAGGUACGUGCUAAUCCCUCAGGAAACUGAGCUCUCUAUAAUUAGACCCGAUAAGUCGAAGUAUAGAGGGGACCUAGGGCUAUACGUGUAUAGCCCUAGGUUGGAGCUGGAAUAUGUUUCCAGCGAUCAGCUGUGAUGCCCUUAGAUGUUCUGGGCCGCACGCGCGUUACACUGACAGAGCCAGCGAGUACUUCCUUGGUAGAAAUAUCUGGGUAAUCUUGUGAAACUCU
This 250-nucleotide ribosomal RNA is filed under the name Xylariales sp. RNAcentral describes it as "partial small subunit ribosomal RNA". It matches the Rfam family "Eukaryotic small subunit ribosomal RNA", at positions 1337 to 1563 of the family's 1831-position model. Lineage: Eukaryota; Fungi; Ascomycota; Sordariomycetes; Xylariales. The record is from RNAcentral.